RNAcentral lists this ribosomal RNA (256 nucleotides) under uncultured bacterium. Its description in RNAcentral is "partial 16S ribosomal RNA". It matches the Rfam family "Bacterial small subunit ribosomal RNA", at positions 336 to 606 of the family's 1533-position model. The record is from RNAcentral.
UUCCUACGGGGGGCAGCAGUGGGGAAUAUUGGGCAAUGGGCGCAAGCCUGACCCAGCAACGCCGCGUGAAGGAAGAAGGCUUUCGGGUUGUAAACUUCUUUUAUGAGGGACGAAAGAAAUGACGGUACCUCAUGAAUAAGCCACGGCUAACUACGUGCCAGCAGCCGCGGUAAUACGUAGGAGGCAAGCGUUAUCCGGAUUUACUGGGUGUAAAGGGCGUGUAGGCGGGACUGCAAGUCAGAUGAGAAAAUUAUGG